This 210-nucleotide ribosomal RNA is filed under the name uncultured prokaryote. RNAcentral's name for it is "partial 16S ribosomal RNA". It matches the Rfam family "Bacterial small subunit ribosomal RNA", at positions 524 to 733 of the family's 1533-position model. The record is from RNAcentral.
UACAGAGGGUGCGAGCGUUAAUCGGAAUUACUGGGCGUAAAGCGUGCGUAGACGGUUAUGUAAGUCGGGUGUGAAAGCCCCGGGCUCAACCUGGGAAUGCCAUUCGAGACUGCAUAGCUAGGGUGCGGAAGAGGGAAGCGGAAUUUCAGGUGUAGCGGUGAAAUGCGUAGAGAUGUGGAGGAACACCGAUGGCGAAGGCAGCCCCCUGGG